UACGUAGGCAGCAAGCGUUGUUCGGAAUUACUGGGCGUAAAGAGUGUGUAGGCGGUUUUCUAAGUUUGGUGUGAAAUCUCCCGGCUUAACUGGGAGGGUGCGCCGAAAACUGGAAGGCUUGAGUACCGGAGAGGAUAGCGGAAUUCCACGUGUAGCGGUGAAAUGCGUAGAUAUGUGGAAGAACACCAGUGGCGAAAGCGGUUUUCUAGCUAUUUCCUGACGCUGAGGCGCGAGAGCAUGGGGAGCAAACAGG
RNAcentral lists this ribosomal RNA (253 nucleotides) under uncultured prokaryote. Its description in RNAcentral is "partial 16S ribosomal RNA". It matches the Rfam family "Bacterial small subunit ribosomal RNA", at positions 524 to 776 of the family's 1533-position model. The record is from RNAcentral.